This 86-nucleotide transfer RNA is filed under the name Desulfofundulus thermobenzoicus. RNAcentral describes it as "tRNA-Tyr". It matches the Rfam family "tRNA". From Rfam's summary of the family: Transfer RNA (tRNA) molecules are approximately 80 nucleotides in length. The record is from RNAcentral. Lineage: Bacteria; Bacillati; Bacillota; Clostridia; Eubacteriales; Peptococcaceae. RNAcentral also lists the same sequence under 1 other name.
GGAGGGGUUCCCGAGUGGCCAAAGGGAGCAGACUGUAAAUCUGCCGGCGAACGCCUUCGCAGGUUCGAAUCCUGCCCCCUCCACCA